AGUAAUUACCAUUUGCAUUAAACUUCCAUGUGAUUUCAUCUUGGACACCCAGGCACAGAGCCACCUGCUGAACAACUUGCCACAGAUGGACGAAUUCUUGGAAGUGAUGUACAGAGAAACUAUUGUGGUGUAUAUUGAUGUCCCGGAUCUAAGUUCGAUUGAGAAGCGCAUCCCGUAGGCUCUUGUUUUUCCUCUUUGAGAUCGAGAAAAUACCUGGCGCUAUGUCCUUUGGCCUUUGACCUUGUACCCAGACGCUAUUCCAAAAAGAAGUCUUUGCUCCAUCGCCUACGUCGAUGCGUGUGCAUGCCGCAAAUAGUUUCCUAUCCGUGUUGUUGCACGGAACCUCGGAGCCCACCCAAAGCUUGUCUUCCGCUUUCCACUCAUGCCAAAGCCAUCUGAGCCUAGUUCUCUUGCAAACUUGUAGAUGUUUAAAAUACCUACUCCCCC
RNAcentral lists this long non-coding RNA (447 nucleotides) under Setaria viridis. RNAcentral describes it as "long non-coding RNA (SVIR_LNC008765)". Lineage: Eukaryota; Viridiplantae; Streptophyta; Magnoliopsida; Poales; Poaceae. The record is from RNAcentral.